UUUUAUAAAGGGCAAACUUAUUGAAAAAUAGGUCGCAAAGCCAUGGGUCUAAAGAUAUUUUUAUCAAUGACUGCCAGGUUGCAUCA
This 86-nucleotide non-coding RNA is filed under the name Sporomusa acidovorans. RNAcentral's name for it is "GEMM cis-regulatory element". It matches the Rfam family "c-di-GMP-I riboswitch aptamer". Rfam says of the family: GEMM was predicted in a large-scale screen for bacterial structured RNA regulatory elements. Genes associated with GEMM are involved in a diverse array of functions, including chemotaxis regulation, signal transduction, secretion and chitin. RNAcentral also lists the same sequence under 1 other name. The record is from RNAcentral. Lineage: Bacteria; Bacillati; Bacillota; Negativicutes; Selenomonadales; Sporomusaceae.